GCCAAGUGGUACAUGCAGUUUGAUGA
Molecule: non-coding RNA, 26 nt
Filed under: Homo sapiens (human)
Lineage: Eukaryota; Metazoa; Chordata; Mammalia; Primates; Hominidae
Source: RNAcentral